GGCAGUUAACAGAACAUGCUGAAAAGCGAAAAGAGUGUCAAAACAUAGCUAGCUCUACCAAACUGAAUUAGGAAAAUAUAAACUAGAGGUGUGCGUCUGUGUUCGUGUUCCAACUUCCAACUAGGACGAUGACUCAGAUUUUUUCAAAGAAGUACGAAGUAGAUUCAGAACAAAACCG
Long non-coding RNA from Capsella rubella, 178 nucleotides. RefSeq lists it as uncharacterized. The transcript is spliced from 3 exons. Lineage: Eukaryota; Viridiplantae; Streptophyta; Magnoliopsida; Brassicales; Brassicaceae. The record is from RefSeq and is a predicted model, not a curated record.